GAAAUUAAAUAUUCUUCCAAAAUGAUGAAAGUAGAAGCAGUUAAUUUCCCUUCCAAAAAGAGGAGAGUAACAACAACUAAAAAAAGGAGAACAUAAGCAAGUAAAGUCACCUCAAAAUAAAUGAGAUGAUAGUUAAAGUUACUUGUUUAAAUCCAAAUUUAUACAUUAUUAUAAGAACCUAGCUAAUGAAUAAGGUAUUUACAAUCCUUCAUGCACAGUUAUU
RNAcentral lists this long non-coding RNA (223 nucleotides) under Lathyrus oleraceus (garden pea). RNAcentral describes it as "Pisum sativum (pea) long non-coding RNA (PSAT_LNC002710)". The record is from RNAcentral. Lineage: Eukaryota; Viridiplantae; Streptophyta; Magnoliopsida; Fabales; Fabaceae.